Molecule: ribosomal RNA, 260 nt
Filed under: uncultured bacterium
Lineage: Bacteria
Description: partial 16S ribosomal RNA
Rfam family: Bacterial small subunit ribosomal RNA
Source: RNAcentral
UCCUACGGGACGCAGCAGUGAGGAAUAUUGGUCAAUGGGCGGGAGCCCGAACCAGCCAAGUCGCGUGAGGGUAGACGGUCCUAUGGAUUGGAAACCUCUUGAGGCGGGGAGCAAUGCCGGGCACGUGUGCCCGGAGGGAGAGUACCCGUAGAAUAAGCAUCGGCUAACUCCGUGCCAGCAGCCGCGGUAAUACGGAGGAUGCGAGCGCUAUCCGGAUUUAUUGGGUUUAAGGGGUGCGUAGGCGGAUUUUUAAGUCAGCG